GACGUAGGGCGCGAGCGUUGUCCGGAAUCAUUGGGCGUAAAGCGCGUGUAGGCGGCCCGGUAAGUCCGCUGUGAAAGUCGGGGGCUCAACCCUCGAAUGCCGGUGGAUACUGUCGGGCUAGAGUGCGGGAGAGGCGAGUGGAAUUCCUGGUGUAGCGGUGAAAUGCGCAGAUAUCAGGAGGAACACCGGUGGCGAAGGCGGGUCUCUGGGCCAUAACUGACGCUGGAGGAGCGAAAGCGUGGGGAGCGAACAGG
Molecule: ribosomal RNA, 254 nt
Filed under: uncultured bacterium
Lineage: Bacteria
Description: partial 16S ribosomal RNA
Rfam family: Bacterial small subunit ribosomal RNA
Source: RNAcentral